CCCCUUUUUCCUUUACCUACCCAAAUCCUAUAAAGCGGCCCCACCCCAUCUCCCUUCGCUCUCUUUUCAGACUCAGCCUGCCUGCACCCAGGUGAAAUAAACAGCCUUGUUGCUCACACAAAGCCUGUUUGGUGGUCUCUUCACACGGACACGAGUGAAAUUUGGCGCCGUGACUCGAAUCGGGGGACCUCCCUUAGGAGAUCAAUCCCCUGUCCUCCUGCUCUUUGCUCCGUGAGAAAGAUCCACCUACGACCUCAGGUCCUCAGACCGACCAGCCCAAGAAACAUCUCACCAAUUUCAAAUCCAGACCCCACUAGAAAUCGGACUGUUCAACUCACCUGGCAGCCACUCCCAGAGCCCCUGGAUCUCUGGCCCAAGGCUCUCUGACUGACUCCUUCCCAGAUCUUCUCGGCUUAGCGGCGGAAGGCUGACGCUACCCGAUCACCUCAGAAGCCCUGUAGACCAUCACAGACGCCAAGCUUUAAGUAACUCUCACAGUGGAAGGGAAACCAAAUCAUGGUAUUCUGAAGACCAGAGAUGAUAAUCUCCCUCAUUUGGCUUCCCACUGGGUCCGAUCUGUUAUUCACUGCAAAUGCCCAGCUGCUAAGACUACACAAGCACACUCCCUGUAGGCCCAGGAACUAUUGCAGAAGAAAUGGGUGUAUGAGAUUUUAAGGGCUGGUUUUUGAGGGAUAUAAUUAAGUCAGGGUCACAACCUCCAAAUGAAGGUUGGGUACAAAGAUGCCUAAACAGCUGGUAAAACAAGGGCCUUUGCUUCUUGAGCUAUUAUGGGGCACCUUUGCAUCCACCCCAGCUAUUAAGAAUUUCCUUCUCCUGGGCCAGGCACGGUGGCUCAUGCCUGUAAUCCCAGCACUUUGGAAGGAUGAGGCAGGUGGAUCACGAGGUCAGGAGAUCGAGACCAUCCUGGCUAACACGGUGAAAUCCCGUCUCUACUAAACAUACAAAAAAUUAGCCGGCCGUGGUGGUGCACACCUGUAGUCCCAGCUACACUGGAGGCUGAGGCAGAAUUGCUUGAACCUGGGAGGUGGAGGUUGCAGUGAGCCGAGAUGGCACCACUGUACUCCAGCCUGGGCAACAGACUGAGACUCCAUAUUAAAAAAAAAAAAAAAAGAAUU
Long non-coding RNA from Gorilla gorilla gorilla (western lowland gorilla), 1136 nucleotides. RefSeq lists it as uncharacterized. Lineage: Eukaryota; Metazoa; Chordata; Mammalia; Primates; Hominidae. The record is from RefSeq and is a predicted model, not a curated record. The transcript is spliced from 3 exons.